GACGAACGCUGGCGGCGUGCUUAACACAUGCAAGUCGAACGGAAAGGCCCUGCUUGCAGGGUACUCGAGUGGCGAACGGGUGAGUAACACGUGGGUGAUCUGCCCUGCACUUCGGGAUAAGCUUGGGAAACUGGGUCUAAUACCGGAUAGGAACCAUCUUUAGUGUGGUGGUUGGAAAGUUUUUUCGGUGUAGGAUGAGCUCGCGGCCUAUCAGCUUGUUGGUGGGGUAAUGGCCUACCAAGGCGGCGACGGGUAGCCGGCCUGAGAGGGUGUACGGCCACAUUGGGACUGAGAUACGGCCCAGACUCCUACGGGAGGCAGCAGUGGGGAAUAUUGCACAAUGGGCGCAAGCCUGAUGCAGCGACGCCGCGUGGGGGAUGAAGGCCUUCGGGUUGUAAACUCCUUUCGCUAGGGACGAAGCUUUGUUGUGACGGUACCUAGAGAAGAAGCACCGGCUAACUACGUG
Molecule: ribosomal RNA, 466 nt
Filed under: uncultured bacterium
Lineage: Bacteria
Description: partial 16S ribosomal RNA
Rfam family: Bacterial small subunit ribosomal RNA
Source: RNAcentral